CAAUGACACAUUGACAUAGUUAAUAUUGGUCUAUAUAUCACAAUAUAUAUGUCAUUUUAUGGGAUCAAUUUACUGCGGCUGAAGAUCUUACAACAUAAAUACAAUGAACAUAAAAAUUGAGGAAAGCAAUGUCAGUGAAAAACUGAAUAAGGCGAAUUCCAUAGAAAAAUUCUACGCCAAUACUGAAAUCUUGGUGAGACGGGUUUCAUAGGCAAAAGAAUUUGGAGAAACUGAGGCGUGUGUGUUCAAGCAUCGUCGCCAUCUUUAUCCUUAUUCGAAGAAAAAC
Molecule: long non-coding RNA, 286 nt
Organism: Frieseomelitta varia
Lineage: Eukaryota; Metazoa; Arthropoda; Insecta; Hymenoptera; Apidae
Exons: 3
Source: RefSeq, a predicted model, not a curated record